This 222-nucleotide ribosomal RNA is filed under the name uncultured bacterium. Its description in RNAcentral is "partial 16S ribosomal RNA". It matches the Rfam family "Bacterial small subunit ribosomal RNA", at positions 15 to 219 of the family's 1533-position model. The record is from RNAcentral.
GAUCAUGGCUCAGGAUGAACGCUGGCGGCGUGCCUAACACAUGCAAGUCGAACGAAGCACUUAAGUGGAUUUCUUCGGAUUGAAGCUUAUUUGACUGAGUGGCGGACGGGUGAGUAACGCGUGGGUAACCUGCCUCAUACAGGGGGAUAACAGUUAGAAAUGACUGCUAAUACCGCAUAAGCGCACGAAGACGCAUGUCUUUGUGUGAAAAGCCGAGACGGU